CCCCCUACUCCAUUCUCAUAGGGCGGCGUGAGCCGUAAAAAAGGAGGAACAUCCGCCGGGCCGGCGGUGCGGCAGUGUGGAGACCUGUCGUAACGUCCGCAGGGUUCCGCUCCCUGCGGGCAAGAGGGUAUUUGCGGAGGCAUUGCCCUUUCGGCCCAUGCAAAUGGCA
RNAcentral lists this non-coding RNA (169 nucleotides) under uncultured Flavonifractor sp. Its description in RNAcentral is "malK-I RNA". It matches the Rfam family "malK-I RNA". Lineage: Bacteria; Bacillati; Bacillota; Clostridia; Eubacteriales; Oscillospiraceae. The record is from RNAcentral.